This 27-nucleotide small RNA is filed under the name Bombyx mori (domestic silkworm). RNAcentral describes it as "ovarian small RNA-30277". The record is from RNAcentral. Lineage: Eukaryota; Metazoa; Arthropoda; Insecta; Lepidoptera; Bombycidae.
UCUUUGGUCUUCGGUGGUGUCUAUCUU